AGAGGCACAGCGUGGGGGCGAGCAGGGAGAAGACCCUUCCCCAGGAGUAGAACUCAGUCACCCAUUAACUCUUCCACUGCAGGGGUGCCCCACAUGCACGCCCUUUGUUUUCCCACAGCACCCCACAUCCUGUUCCUCCCCCGUCACAGGUGAAAGGCACAUUCUUGCAGUUCGUUUAAAGGCCUGCAGAAGACUGCAACAGACUGCAGCAGAGGAAGUCUGAGAUUUCCAAAGCUUUAGGUUUUGCCUUUUCUGAGCACCACCUCGGCCCGUCCAUUGAACUUCUCACUUCAACUGUUUUUGGGGACAGAGAGUCCGGGACAAAAUGACACAGGAGUUGCUCUCAUACUCAAGAUGUUAAGUGACCAUCUGCAAGAACAUCUCAGGAGUGGGACCAACCAGAACAAGGGAGUGGAGUUCAGGGCUUGUCAAGGCCCCUCUGGGGCCGGUGGCCUCUGAUCUGUAGGAGGGUAAUUGCCAACGGGCGGGCUUGUGCACACAUAGCCACACACGCACCCUUCCCAACACGCACACACCCCAGGGCCCAGGAUUCUUUGCACAAGGUGACGCCUGCUCCCUUUGAUGCCCGCCGGAUGUGUUCCCAUUGGGCAAGAACCAGACCUCAAUAAAUCCAGCAUUAUCAAGAGGCCGGUGGUUUGCGAUUGCACCAGCCUGUUAUCUCUGGCCCUGGGUGGGGCUGCUUCGUGGUUCACCAUUGAAAAGCAUUAACUUAUAGGUAGAUCAAAGACCCUUCCGCGCCAGCCGACCUGGGUCCCUUGUGUAUCCCCCAUGGACUGUUCCUGAAGAUGGACUUUAAAGAUAAUAGGUCCCCCAGUCCCAACUCUCUUGUGUCCUCUCCUUAUCAUACAAUAUGUUCCUUGGGGGCCACUCCACAGCCAAUCACCAGGCCUUUCUUGUCCCUCUCUUUGGAUGGCCCAUCUAACAACAGUACAUGGGAGACUGGGCCAUGCAGGCACUCCUGUCCCCUCUGGAUCACAACAAGGAGGAGGUUCUGGAGUGGAGGUCAUUUAUUACACUCUGUCCUCAGAAGGAAGAGACUGCCAGGUUCCCCUUACCUGGCACCAGAAGGCCCCAAUAGACUCCACUGUCUACACGGAUGUUUGAGGCCAGCAACCAGUCUGCAGUGAGGUCACAGUGGACUUCUGAGUUGUGGGUUACCAAGGAGGACUACUCAUUGGCCAGGGAGAGAGUUCAGACUUCCAACAGGGCUGCUUGCAGGCUUCUCGCCUCCCAAGAGUCCCUCAGCCCAUGGAGCAGGUUGGUCAGUGGCCAGGCACAUGGGGACAGGUCCACUGACAGGACUGCACAGGAGAACACAGCCAUGGAUAUGGGGAUGAGCUGAAUGGGAACACAUCCUUCUGUACGUUUUACCUUUGCAAAGGAAAAAAAAAAUAAAAGAGCCACGUUCUGAUCCUUUCAA
This is a long non-coding RNA of Heterocephalus glaber (naked mole-rat), 1441 nucleotides long. RefSeq lists it as uncharacterized. The record is from RefSeq and is a predicted model, not a curated record. NCBI's taxonomy places the organism in Eukaryota, Metazoa, Chordata, Mammalia, Rodentia, Bathyergidae.